Molecule: long non-coding RNA, 471 nt
Filed under: Salmo salar (Atlantic salmon)
Lineage: Eukaryota; Metazoa; Chordata; Actinopteri; Salmoniformes; Salmonidae
Description: lncRNA (ENSSSAG00000112306.1)
Source: RNAcentral
GUUCAGGGCAGGGUACUGGGUGGAGGCUAGUAACAGUAACUAAGGUUCAGGGCAGGGUACUGGGUGGAGGCUAGUAACAGUAACUAAGGUUCAGGGCAGGGUACUGGGUGGAGGCUAGUAACAGUAACUAAGGUUCAGGGCAGGGUACUGGGUGGAGGCAGGCUAGUAACAGUAACUAAGGUUCAGGGCAGGGUACUGGGUGGAGGCUAGUAACAGUAACUAAGGUUCAGGGCAGGGUACUGGGUGGAGGCUGGCUAGUAACAGUAACUAAGGUUCAGGGCAGGGUACUGGGUGGAGGCUAGUAACAGUAACUAAGGUUCAGGGCAGGGUACUGGGUGGAGGCAGGCAGGCUAGUAACAGUAACUAAGGUUCAGGGCAGGGUACUGGGUGGAGGCUGGCUAGUAACAGUAACUAAGGUUCAGGGCAGGGUACUGGGUGGAGGCUAGUAACAGUAACUAAGGUUCAGGGCAG